GCAGCCACCGCCCCGCAUCGGAAGGAGGGCGCGUCGCCGCCGCCCUGUGGGCCUGAGGCCAGCCACAGUCCGGGCAACCUCCCCUGGCCUGCUCCACCUCUCUGGGCAGAAGCAUGGAUGUACUGGAGGCCGCCCGGUCCAGGAGAGACCCUACCACCAUUCCCCCCAGCCCACAGUAUCAUCCCAGCUUACAAGUUUGCCUGGCCUGUGGGGAUGGACCACGCGGAUGAUCUCCCCUGUUGGUAUCAGUUCUACUUGAAGUGCCAUUCCGCUGUGUGGAGCCAGCCUGCAGGACGCAGAAACUGCCCAGCGUGCCACUGGCUCACACUGGGAUGGCCAGUUGGUUCUGCUUCAACUCCAGCCCCAGGGGAUGUGGCUGGUCCAGCUUCUCAGGACACAGCUGGAGCAGUCCAGGUAACCAGAGGAGCUGAUGCAUCCACCCAUGAGGGACCCUGGGUUCCAGGUCAAAGGUUAGGAGACAACCCCCGCCCCCAACUCCUUUCCCAGCAAGUCCUUGGCAGGGCCUCUCAAGCUGCCCUCUCAGAUCAGCUCGAGUGCGGAAUAACCAUUCCUCUAACCAGAGGCACAGCUUUCCACAAAGCCGAGAGGAUCCUUUAUGUGGCAUUGCUCCUCAAGUCCCUUCAGCUUGGCCGCCUCUGAAGGUAGUGAGCCUUACCCUCCUUUCUCUUUCUUUUCUUUCUUUUUUUUUUUUUAAGAGUUUGAAUGUUGUCUAGGCUAGUCUUGAACUCCUGGACUCGAGAUCCUCCUGCUUCAUCUGAGUGUUGGGAGGACAGGCAUGUGCUGAUUACUUGUUUGUUUUCGAGACAGGGUUUCUCUGUGUUGCCCUGGCUGACCUGGCACUCACCCUGUCGACCAGGCUGGCCUCGAACUCAAGAGAUCCAACUGUUCUCUGCCUCCCAAGUGCUGGGAUUAAAAGUGUGAGCCACCACUUGACUACACCUUGUUUUAGAGGCCGGGGCUGGUCCUGCUAGGCAGAAGGUGGUAUUAGAAACAGCAAGAGGCUCUGCCCAUCUCACUGCUGGAGCCUCAAGGUAAGUUCCUGGGUCCCUUGGGUGUGUACCCCCUGUUUAUUUUCAACUGUACUCGCCCCCCCCCCCAUACACACACAGUGUUCCUGUUUUUCUGUCUUCAUUGUUGCUAAAUCACAGCUGACAUUUUCCUGGCCUGGGAUUGAGCUCUGGGUCUCCAGCCAUUCCUUAUAGGAAAUGAGAAUGGGGAAGUCAGGGGGAAACAGACUUUUCCAGGAGAGGCUGGCAUGGGAGGGGCGGAGGACCCCUGGGACUAUGCUGACACUGAUGAUCGGGCACCUUCCUUUUCUCCCUCAGCUUCCCCCGCCCAGGAAAGGCCUAUAAAGCUUCCUUCCUCUGGGAAGCACAUCUAUCCAGGGCAGGCUCAUCCCAGUGGCCACACAAUGGCUCUUAUCAGUCGCGGAGCCAGGCAGAGACCCAGCACACACCAAGUCUCACAUAUUUCCUGUUUCCACCCAACGGGUCAGGGGUGGGCCCAGAACAGCCAUAUCCUGCCUAGGACCUGAGAGGGAGCAAUCCCCUUCCUUUUUCCGCCUUUCAAUCACAGCUGAACUCGCCCUUCUCAGUUGAGGAGGGACCUGCACCGGGACAUUAGGACAGUGUUUCUAAGUGUUGGAGGGGUGGAGGUGAGCUUGUGGAGGCGGGUUGGGACCCCUGGGCCCUAGAGCCAGCCCCAGGGCUUCAUGAGUCAGAAGAGCGGUGCUAUCAGCACUAGUGGUGUUUUUGAAGGGUUUUGGCAAUGGUUCUCUCAGUGACUUGUCAACAGGCAUAUCAUUUAUAUUUUCUAGAUAACCGAGACUCCUGUGGGUAAGAGAGAGUAGGAUGGAUCACAGAUGCAGGUCCAGUCUCUAGGCCCCAUGCCUAUAUUCUGGUCAUGUCCCCCAUCAAAGGAGUCACAUACAAGUGUAAAAGCCACAUUUAUAAUUAUCCCUCAAUGUAACAACUCACACAGAACAGACAGCUAUGGCUCACUAGAAGCCUGGGGGUGG
Peromyscus maniculatus bairdii (prairie deer mouse) is the source of this 2038-nucleotide non-coding RNA. The record is from RefSeq and is a predicted model, not a curated record. NCBI's taxonomy places the organism in Eukaryota, Metazoa, Chordata, Mammalia, Rodentia, Cricetidae.